UACAGAGGGUGCAAGCGUUAAUCGGAAUUACUGGGCGUAAAGCGCGCGUAGGCGGUUCGAUAAGUCGGAUGUGAAAGCCCUGGGCUCAACCUGGGAAUGCCAUUCGAUACUGUCGAGCUAGAGUAUGGUAGAGGAAAGCGGAAUUCCACAUGUAGCGGUGAAAUGCGUAGAUAUGUGGAGGAACAUCAGUGGCGAAGGCGGCUUUCUGGACUAAUACUGACGCUGAGGUGCGAAAGCGUGGGGAGCAAACAGG
This 253-nucleotide ribosomal RNA is filed under the name uncultured bacterium. RNAcentral describes it as "partial 16S ribosomal RNA". It matches the Rfam family "Bacterial small subunit ribosomal RNA", at positions 524 to 776 of the family's 1533-position model. The record is from RNAcentral.